Molecule: unclassified non-coding RNA, 205 nt
Filed under: Basidiomycota sp.
Lineage: Eukaryota; Fungi; Basidiomycota
Description: partial contains small subunit ribosomal RNA, internal transcribed spacer 1, and 5.8S ribosomal RNA
Rfam family: Eukaryotic small subunit ribosomal RNA (bases 1-47)
Source: RNAcentral
AAAGUCGUAACAAGGUUUCCGUAGGUGAACCUGCGGAAGGAUCAUUACAAAUCCACAAGUCUCACCCUAACCCGGUCGAUGACAACGUUGAACCCCCCGGCGCUCGCGCCACUUAUUUGACCCCACGGCUGACACAAAAUACCACGAAUGUACCAACAAUCACACAACCUAGAAACAACUUAUAACAAUGGAUCUCUAGGCUCUU